AUGCUCAUUUUGACAGCACAACUACUAAAAUUGGAACAAUGCAGAUAUUAGCAUGGCUUCUGAACAAAGAUUAUAUGAAAAUUUGUGAAGCUUUCAUAU
RNAcentral lists this small nuclear RNA (99 nucleotides) under Erinaceus europaeus (western European hedgehog). The record is from RNAcentral. Lineage: Eukaryota; Metazoa; Chordata; Mammalia; Eulipotyphla; Erinaceidae.